GUAGGUGGCAAGCGUUGUCCGGAAUUAUUGGGGCGUAAAUCGCGCGCAGGCGGUUUUUAAGUCUGAUGUGAAAGCCCACGGGCUCAACCGUGGAGGGUCAUUGGAAACUGGAGAACUUGAGUACAGAAGAGGAAAGCGGAAUUCCACGUGUAGCGGUGAAAUGCGUAGAGAUGUGGAGGAACACCAGUGGCGAAGGCGGCUUUCUGGUCUGUAACUGACGCUGAGGCGCGAAAGCGUGGGGAGCAAACAGGAUUAGAUACCCUGGUAGUCCACGCCGUAAACGAUGAGUGCUAAGUGUUAGGGGGUUUCCGCCCCUUAGUGCUGCAGCUAACGCAUUAAGCACUCCGCCUGGGGAGUACGGCCGCAAAGGCUG
This 373-nucleotide ribosomal RNA is filed under the name uncultured organism. RNAcentral describes it as "partial 16S ribosomal RNA". It matches the Rfam family "Bacterial small subunit ribosomal RNA", at positions 527 to 896 of the family's 1533-position model. The record is from RNAcentral.